CAGCCGCCGCGGUAAUACCGGCGGCCCGAGUGGCGGUCACUAUUAUUGGGCUUAAAGCGUCCGUAGCCGGGUUGGGAAGUCCUCCGGGAAAUCUGGCCGCUUAACGGUCAGAAUGCCGGAGGAUACUCCCAGCCUAGGGAGCGGGAGAGGCCGAGGGGAUUCCCGGAGUAGGGGGGAAAUCCUAUAAUCCCGGGAGGACCACCUGUGGCGAAGGCGCUCGGCUGGGACGCGUCCGACGGUGAGGGACGAAGGCCAGGGGAGCAAACCGGAUUAGAUACCCGGGUAGUCCUGGCUGUAAACGAUGCGGACUUUGUGUCGGACAAGCUAUGAGCUUGUCCGGUGCCGGAGGGAAACCGUUAAGUCCGCCGCCUGGGGAGUACGGCCGCAAGGCUGAAACUUAAAGGAAUUGGCGGG
RNAcentral lists this ribosomal RNA (414 nucleotides) under uncultured microorganism. RNAcentral describes it as "bacterial SSU rRNA". It matches the Rfam family "Archaeal small subunit ribosomal RNA", at positions 459 to 872 of the family's 1478-position model. The record is from RNAcentral.